Long non-coding RNA from Cyprinodon tularosa, 467 nucleotides. RefSeq lists it as uncharacterized. The transcript is spliced from 2 exons. NCBI's taxonomy places the organism in Eukaryota, Metazoa, Chordata, Actinopteri, Cyprinodontiformes, Cyprinodontidae. The record is from RefSeq and is a predicted model, not a curated record.
CUAAUAAUAAGUCUUUAAACUGACACAUGUGGAGUGUCAGGCUGGUUCUUACUCACAAUCCUCUGGCAAACGGCUCAAGCUACUCCAAACGAUGACUCCCACUGAGGCAGUGUUCCCAGCCGAUGUUUAAAUAUGUCUAGCCAGCUGUUGCGAUUCCUCUUCUGCUCUCCCCUGAUUUCUUGAACUUUGGCCCUUUGGAACCAAGCCAUGAACAGGCCAGGUCCUCUGCUACUCCCAACACAGCUGCUGCUCCUCUUUGGAUGCUUGGAGUCAUGCAGAACAUUUGAAUUGAUUCUGAUACCUCAGAAUGAUGACACCUCCACCUUGUUCCAGAGUGCGUGGAGGUGUUCAGAGGGAUCCAAAAUGUUACAGCAACACGUGUGCUGCGUUCCCUUGAUGGUUUUUAGGUAACUUUGAUGGAGACGAUUUAUGGCAGAAUUAAAGGGCAGAUUUUUUUUAUCAAAAAA